AGUGAACGCUGGCGGUAGGCCUAACACAUGCAAGUCGAACGGCAGCACAGUAAGAGCUUGCUCUUACGGGUGGCGAGUGGCGGACGGGUGAGGAAUACAUCGGAAUCUACUUUUUCGGGGGGGAUAACGUAGGGAAACUUACGCUAAUACCGCAUACGACCUACGGGUGAAAGCAGGGGAUCUUCGGACCUUGCGCGAUUGAAUGAGCCGAUGUCGGAUUAGCUAGUUGGCGGGGUAAAGGCCCACCCAGGCGACGAUCCGUAGCUGGUCUGAGAGGAUGAUCAGCCACACUGGAACUGAGACACGGUCCAGACUCCUACGGGAGGCAGCAGUGGGGAAUAUUGGACAAAGGGCGCAAGCCUGAUCCAGCCAUACCGCGUGGGUGAAGAAGGCCUUCGGGUUGUAAAGCCCUUUUGUUGGGAAAGAAAAGCAGCAGGUUAAUACCCCGCUGUUCUGACGGUACCCAAAGAAUAAGCACCGGCUAACUUCGUG
RNAcentral lists this ribosomal RNA (492 nucleotides) under uncultured bacterium. Its description in RNAcentral is "partial 16S ribosomal RNA". It matches the Rfam family "Bacterial small subunit ribosomal RNA", at positions 29 to 507 of the family's 1533-position model. The record is from RNAcentral.